GCCUUUCUCCCAGUCUUACAAUAGCAGCCGGUCCAUUUCCUUCCCCCACUCCUCGUGUGCUGUCUUCCUUCCUUCUCUCUGGUUAUACAAGGAAGUUGUGUGAAAGCUUCAGAAAUGGGUUGUAGCCUGGAGAGAGUGGUGGCCCUUCUACUGAAGAUGAGAGAGAGAACGCUCACACAAGUCGUGGGGGAGCGGCAGGCAGAGGGAGAAGCAGGCUCCCCACUGAGCAAGGAACCUGAUCCCAAGACCUGGAGAUCAUGGCCUGAUCCAAAGGCAGACUUCUAACUGACGGAGCCUCCCAGGCGCCCCACAAAUGGCAUCUUUAGAUGGACGUAUAAGAGCAUGAAACAUACGCAGAAUCACACAAAUCACACCGCUUCUGUUUCAUAGUUUGUACACGCAUAUAUAUUUUGUUGUAGCGAGAAUAGUGGAAACAUGGCGUUAAAAUA
Long non-coding RNA from Mustela lutreola (European mink), 449 nucleotides. RefSeq lists it as uncharacterized. The record is from RefSeq and is a predicted model, not a curated record. Lineage: Eukaryota; Metazoa; Chordata; Mammalia; Carnivora; Mustelidae. The transcript has 2 exons.